UGCCAGUAGUCAUAUGCUUGUCUUAAAUAUUAACCCAUGCAUGUGCCAGUUCAGUAUUGAACAGCGAAACUGCGAAUGGCUCAUUAAAACAGUUAUAGUUUAUUUGAUAAUUAAAGAUUACAUGGAUAACCGAGCUAAUUGUUGGGCUAAUACAUGCUUAAAAUUCCGUGUCCUGCGACCGGAACGUAUUUAUUAGAUAUUAGACCAAUCGCAGCAAUGUGAUUGAGAUGAAUCAAAGUAACUGAUCGAAUCGAGGCUUGCUUCGAUAAAUCAUCUAAGUUUCUGCCCUAUCAGCUCUCGAUGGUAGUGUAUUGGACUACCAUGGCAGUCACGGGUAACGGAGAAUUAGGGUUCGAUUCCGGAGAAGGAGCCUGAGAAACGGCUACUACAACUACGGUUCGGCAGCAGGGAAGAAAAUUGGCCAAUCCUAAUUCAGGGAGCCAGUGACAAGAAAUAGCAAGCUGGGAAACCUAGUUUCUACGGCAUUGAAAUGAGAAAAGUGUAAAUCUCUUAGCGAGGAACAAUUGGAGGACAAGUCUGGU
Molecule: ribosomal RNA, 542 nt
Filed under: uncultured Tetrahymena sp.
Lineage: Eukaryota; Ciliophora; Oligohymenophorea; Hymenostomatida
Description: SSU rRNA
Rfam family: Eukaryotic small subunit ribosomal RNA
Source: RNAcentral